AAGAUCUACAUUCUUCAUAGUUCAUAUCGAUCGAUAUAUAGGAAUACGUAUGCAUGGAUCAGUUUAAUUUCAUCUUCUUUGCUUGUUUUCAAUUUUCUAUGUGGUAUCAGUACAGGUGGGAAUAGGCUAUGCAAAUAAGGUCGAUGAUGGCAAAUCCUGGAUGUUUUACUGGAAUUCAGCUAUGCCAAAAUCUCCAUUGCCUUCUAAAGCUGUACAGCAAGUCCUAAACCCUGCAGUAGGUGAAAGAAGUUAAGCUGGGAUUGGAAAGGAUGCUGUAAAUCUUACACCACAAGCAUGCUAUCGUGUUGGUACCGUACGUCUACGCUGCAUCUGCAGACAGAAGAAAUCAAAGUGGAGCCACUGAGCCAGGUUUAACUACAUACUUUUAAGAAAAAGAUCUUCAGCAUUUGGGAAAAACGGUGACAAUGCGAUUCUUGAAACCCACAAGUAACAAGGCAGCUCUUGUUGCCGGAAAUUCUAACCUACUUUGGGGUGAAACCCAAGUCAGGUUAUGCAGAAAUAAUGGAAAGCACAAUCGGAGACUAUGAGAAACCGGCCAUUAAUUAAGGCCGAAGACAAGCACUGCACAACAUUGCUAGAAUCCUUGAUCGAUUUCACGGUUUCUAAGCUCGGGAAGCAUGUCCAAGUGUAUUCAACCGAGGCUGAAGAUCGAUGAAAGCAAACAAGAAUAUAGCGUUGAGACUACUGGAUCACAAAGUACUGGAGACAUACAGGUUGGUUGUGUGCCAUAAGGAGAACUAUGUUUAUGGUGUGUUUUACUGACACCAAUUCUACGGCACAACAACAAAGGCGUACAUGGUUCCUUUGGUGGCUGGUGAUCGAUGGAGUUACAAAAGCCAAAGCAGUAGCUAUUUGCCAUAUUGACACCACUGGCUGGAACCCUAAGCAUUUGGCCUUUCGAGUCUUAAAAUUAAAGCCGGGAAAUACAGUCCCAGUCUAGUGAAAAUAUACAAUCCCAAAAAAACAAAA
This is an RNA transcript of Fragaria vesca subsp. vesca, 990 nucleotides long. RefSeq lists it as uncharacterized. The transcript is spliced from 3 exons. Lineage: Eukaryota; Viridiplantae; Streptophyta; Magnoliopsida; Rosales; Rosaceae. The record is from RefSeq and is a predicted model, not a curated record.